GAUGAACGCUGGCGGCGUGCCUAACACAUGCAAGUCGAACGGUUAAACCGGCUUUUGCCGGAAAUAAAGUGGCGAACGGGUGAGUAACGCGUGACCGACCUUCCCCCCGCACCGGGACAACCGCGGGAAACCGCGGCUGAUACCGGGUACUCCGGGGCCUUCGCAUGGGGGCCCCGGGAAAGCUCCGGCGGCGGGGGAUGGGGUCGCGUCCCAUCAGGUAGUAGGCGGGGCAACGGCCCACCUAGCCGACGACGGGUAGCCGGGUUGAGAGACCGACCGGCCACAUUGGGACUGAGAUACGGCCCAGACUCCUACGGGAGGCAGCAGUGGGGAAUUUUGCGCAAUGGGGGCAACCCUGACGCAGCAACGCCGCGUGCGGGACGACGGCCUUCGGGUUGUAAACCGCUUUCAGCAGGGAAGAACCUAUGACGGUACCUGCAGAAGAAGCCCCGG
This 453-nucleotide ribosomal RNA is filed under the name uncultured bacterium. Its description in RNAcentral is "bacterial SSU rRNA". It matches the Rfam family "Bacterial small subunit ribosomal RNA", at positions 28 to 496 of the family's 1533-position model. The record is from RNAcentral.